Patella vulgata (common limpet) is the source of this 1567-nucleotide long non-coding RNA. RefSeq lists it as uncharacterized. The transcript has 5 exons. NCBI's taxonomy places the organism in Eukaryota, Metazoa, Mollusca, Gastropoda, Patellidae. The record is from RefSeq and is a predicted model, not a curated record.
UCAAAAUUGUAUUUUAUGCAAUUUGAAUUUUUAGACACAGAAUAAAGAACACCAUGUGGAAUUAUUUUUACUUUUAAAAUAGUUGUCUCCCUUAGGCUACAUGAGAAAUACUCCCCACCCCCAAAAAAACCAACAGACAGAUCCAAAAGGGGGAGGGGUUGUCAAUUUUCAAUUUAGGGGAUCUGUGCGCCCAUACAUUAAUAAGGCCCAAUCUCGUGAAUAUCCAACACCAAAUCUUACUCAAAUUCUAAAGGAGAAAUCGCUGCGAAAUCGAUUUUCUUUGAAAAUACAGACGAUCACUUUGCAAGUUAAGCCUAACAAUCAUGGGACUAGGCCUAUAGGCCUAUUACCUCGAGUCAUGAAAUGCAUUGUAGAGAAAUAUGGUUUGCAGUUUGGGGAUGGAAAAUGAAAUUGGCAACAAUAGCAAAUACAGAAGCUUCUAACCUAAUAGACGGAUUAGAUGUGCUGCUUUCAUGAAAAUAUAUGAUACAAAAACGAUAUGCAUUACUUAAAGUAACAUUUCUGGUCAUGCUAAAUACCGUAGUAAAAAGGAUUGUCACAAACCAACUUACUAGUUGGUCACAUCAGAUGCCAAUUUUAGUAUUCGAAUAUUGGGUCUAAAGCAGUGGGAGGAAACCAGAGGACCCGGAGAAAACCCAUGAGGUUGGACAGGCAACUCUACUCAUUAGCCCAGUUAGUGCAGAAAAGUAAGACACAAAAACCCCAUUUAAUUUCAUUUGCAAUAAUAGGAUAAAACUUAAAAAUCAUAUUUUAAACAAAUUUUGUGGAAAGGUUUAGGUCCCAUAGUACAUACAACCCACUUCUAAGUUUCAUACUGCCUUAUGUCCACUCAUUAGAAUAAUCAGACAAUACUAAAACAUAAAAUAUGUACCAGACUUGGAAAGAUUUUGACAUCAUUCUACAAUCUUCAGACAAAUUUUUAUCUGUUAAAGUCAUCACAUACAGAUUUGUAGAUUUCUAUAAAUUAAAAGAACAAAUAAAUUUGAAUGAUAACAUUCGUAUUACUCAUAAAUACCUACUUGUAGUAGUUUAAGUGGUACUUUUCAACCAGAUUCAUUGCUAAUUUGUUUCAAUUCCGAGACAACAGGUGAUUAUUGCAAUGGGUUUGUCUGUCAAAAGUCACACCUUUCUAAUUGAAGUAGAAUGUUUGAACUUGGCAUAGAUGUUCAUUAGAUGGAUGUCUUCGACAGGCUUUAGCAUUUUCUCCAGGCUUUAGAAUUUUCGAAUUUGUUGAUAUACUUUGUAACACAAUACAAUAACAUUGAUUCUAAUUGGGGGACAUCAGUCUUACUGUUGGCUUGUUUAUUUCUUAUCAAUUCUAUUACAGAAACUAGUCUUUCAUAUGAGAUGUAAAAAAGAAAUCCCCUUGCAUAAGUUGGCAUCCACGUGAACAAACCCUUUGACAGUUGUAGCGCCGCUAUCUGGAGAAAAUUUCCCUCAUGUGACCAUCUCGAUUAGCCCAGUUGGCACAGAAAAGUAGGACAUUAACCACAUUUCAUUUCAUUUACAUUUUUAUAAAAAAAACAUACUAAAAUGAAACAUUACC